GCACUACUUGGGCCGCAGACACUUUUUUCCCAGAAGCCCAGUGUAAUUUACAAGGGUGAAUAAGUCUUUUUCUCACUUCACAGUUGGGAAUACUGAGACACAGACAAGACUGAAUGAAUCAUAUCUAGCUGCCUCUCAGGGAUAUCUCUAAUGUAUUUAUCUCUGUUUUUCCAGGGAUGCAACAAAACUAGCAAUGAAAAGAAGGUGAAGGAGGUCAUGGGAGAGAAAGAUGCUGUGGAAAGUUGAGAUACCUGUGGAUUCUGCACUACUAAAGUGAGUGGAAGCCAUGUUACGAACUUUAAGAGCAGCUGAGAGCAAUGCUAGAGCUGAUAUUUCCUGCCUUUUCUAACCUUAUGUGACCAAAGAAUUUGUCUUCUGCCCCUUCUGGAAUACUUCUCUUGAGAAGCACCAAGGGAACAUUGAAACUGCAGAUAGUUUUGAACAGUUGCUCUUUGCAGGACAGUUAAUACUGAAACAAAAAUCAAGCACAAGGAUGUCUUUUGGAGGGCUGCUGCCUAGCAGCUGUGCCCAGUUCACUGACCUCGGUGGGAGUUCCUGAGUCCUCUAUGAAUUCAGGUUUUCUACAUGACCUUGGAAAAGUUGGACAGGGGCUGACGCUGCCCUAGAAGUCGGUGGGCUAUAUGCUACAAAGAGAGGAGUAUUAAGACUGCAUUCUUCCUGUACCUCUUGUCUCUUCACCUGUAAAAUGCGGAUAACAAUGCACUCCUACUUCCUCCAGGUGUGGCAAAGCUAAAUCACGUGGUGUUAGCAAAGAUUCUGAUAUCUGAAAAUGCAGCUGCUUCUCUUUGAAUCUCUGCUGAGAUUCUCACAAGCAUGUACUUUGCUCUGGAGGUGAGUUACCCACCAGAGGGCAACAUCACUCUCGCACAUAAAAAUAAUGCAUGCACUACUUGAUCCAAAACUUACCAAAAGCAAAGGGAAGCUUUCCUUUGGCCUUUACAGCAUUGCAUAAAUGCAUUUUUUUACUGUAUUUC
Molecule: long non-coding RNA, 995 nt
Filed under: Dromaius novaehollandiae (emu)
Lineage: Eukaryota; Metazoa; Chordata; Aves; Casuariiformes; Dromaiidae
Description: lncRNA (ENSDNVG00000008140.1)
Source: RNAcentral